GUGCACUUUGGUAGCACAUAUACCAAAAUUGCAAUGAUAGAAAGAUUAGCAUGGACCCUGCACAAGGAUGACACCCAAAUUUGUGAAGUGUUUGUAUAUAUU
This 102-nucleotide small nuclear RNA is filed under the name Dasypus novemcinctus (nine-banded armadillo). The record is from RNAcentral. Lineage: Eukaryota; Metazoa; Chordata; Mammalia; Cingulata; Dasypodidae.